This 673-nucleotide small RNA is filed under the name Pan troglodytes (chimpanzee). RNAcentral describes it as "processed transcript". The record is from RNAcentral. Lineage: Eukaryota; Metazoa; Chordata; Mammalia; Primates; Hominidae.
CCUAGGUCCCGGCAGCGGUGGUGACGGCGGUGCCGGAGGUUGUCCUUGGCAGGUUUUCCUCGGCGCUUUUCCAUGGAGGAGGCGGUGCGAACGGCUUCAGCCCCGAAUGCUCGCAUCUCCCACUGGACGGCGACGAAGGCGGUGGCCGUGCGAGCGCAGGACUGGGCGGCCUGUGUGGGGGUGUGAGCCGCGGUGCCCCAGGCUGCGCCGGCGAGGGGAAGCCGCGCGGCCGGCCGGCCGACUAGGGUGAGGUCGCCACUCCUUCCUUUCAGGCAAGCGCGAAGGGGCUGACUUGGUGGCGAGCCAGCCCGCCUUGUGUCGGAGAAGGGUUCUUCGGGCAACUUUCCUUUCCGGGUGUUCUGAAGCGGUUUUCCUGUAAUCCUCAGUGAGGAAACCCACCGUGAAUCGGAUUGCCGUUCAGUCCCACGGAAGCCUGGCUCGUUGGCCAUGUCGGGGACGCAUGUUCAUUAAGUUCAUUAAAAUAAUUUCAUUUGUCUUGGCUGGAGCUACUCGGCCAGGGUUUAAGACUUUAAAUGAGAAUAAAGGGUGGUAUUUACGAGGAAAUGAGAGUGAAUAAGUCAUCUCUAACCUCUCCCAGCCUUUUUUUCAUAAGAGAGACCAUAUUAAACUUACAUGUUUGAAGACUGCUUCAUUCUGCCUCUAGUACCAGCGG